RNAcentral lists this ribosomal RNA (829 nucleotides) under uncultured bacterium. RNAcentral's name for it is "bacterial SSU rRNA". It matches the Rfam family "Bacterial small subunit ribosomal RNA", at positions 59 to 896 of the family's 1533-position model. The record is from RNAcentral.
CAGUCGACGCUGAAGCCUGGUGCUUGCACCGGGUGGAUGAGUGGCGAACGGGUGAGUAACACGUGAGUAACCUGCCCCUGACUUCGGGAUAAGCCCGGGAAACUGGGUCUAAUACCGGAUACGACUGCCGGACGCAUGUCUGGUGGUGGAAAGUUUUUUCGGUUGGGGAUGGGCUCGCGGCCUAUCAGUUUGUUGGUGAGGUAAUGGCUCACCAAGACGACGACGGGUAGCCGGCCUGAGAGGGCGACCGGCCACACUGGGACUGAGACACGGCCCACACUCCUACGGGAGGCAGCAGUGGGGAAUAUUGCACAAUGGGGGAAACCCUGAUGCAGCGACGCAGCGUGCGGGAUGACGGCCUUCGGGUUGUAAACCGCUUUCAGCAGGGAAGAAGCGCAAGUGACGGUACCUGCAGAAGAAGUACCGGCUAACUACGUGCCAGCAGCCGCGGUAAUACGUAGGGUACGAGCGUUGUCCGGAAUUAUUGGGCGUAAAGAGCUCGUAAGUGGUUGGUCACGUCUGCUGUGGAAACGCAACGCUUAACGUUGCGCGUGCAGUGGGUACGGGCUGACUAGAGUGCAGUAGGGGAGUCUGGAAUUCCUGGUGUAGCGGUGAAAUGCGCAGAUAUCACGAGGAACACCGGUGGCGAAGGCGGGACUCUGGGCUGUAACUGACACUGAGGAGCGAAAGCAUGGGGAGCGAACAGGAUUAGAUACCCUGGUAGUCCAUGCCGUAAACGUUGGGCACUAGGUGUGGGGGGCAUUCCACGUUCUCCGCGCCGUAGCUAACGCAUUAAGUGCCCCGCCUGGGGAGUACGGUCGCAAGGCUA